RNAcentral lists this ribosomal RNA (1337 nucleotides) under Musa schizocarpa. Its description in RNAcentral is "bacterial SSU rRNA". It matches the Rfam family "Bacterial small subunit ribosomal RNA", at positions 156 to 1520 of the family's 1533-position model. The record is from RNAcentral. Lineage: Eukaryota; Viridiplantae; Streptophyta; Magnoliopsida; Zingiberales; Musaceae.
AGUGGCGUUGAGUUUCUCGACCCUUUGCUUUAGGAUUAGUGUAGUUCAUUUCUGAUGGACGGGAAGGAUAUAACCCAGCGGUAGAGUGUCACCUUUGGAGUGGUGGGAAGUCAUCAGUUCGGAGUUUGAUUAUCCCUAAACCCAAUGUAAGUUUUUUCUAUUUUGACUUGCUCCCCUGCCGAUCCGAGAGGAGAGGAUGAUCAGCCACACUGGGACCGACGGCCCAGACCCCACGGGAGGCAGUGGGGAAUUUUCCGCAAUGGGCGAAAGUCUGACGAGCAAUGCCGUGGAGGUAGAAGGCCCAAUGGGUCGGGAACUUCUUCGAGGAGAAGAAACAAUGACGGUAUCUGAGGAAUAAGCAUCGCAUUAACCAAAGCCAGCAGUGGUAAGACAGAGGAUGCAAGCCGUUAUCCGGAACGAUUGGGCGUAAAAGGUCUGUAGGUGGUUUUCAAGUCCGCCGUCAACCCCAGGCUCAACCCUGGACAGGCGGAAAACCACUGCUACGGAGUACGGGCAGAGGGAACCCGGGUGGAGCGGUGAAAUGCGUAGAGAUCGGAAACACCAACGGCGAAACGGCACUUCCACAAUGACACCGAGAGACGAAAGCUGGGAGAGCAAAUGGGAUUAGAUACCCCAGCAGUCCCAGCCGCAAACGAUGGAUUACCAGGCGCUGUGCGUAAAAUCGACCCGUGCGCUGCCAGCGCUGGGCGCAUCCCGCCUGGGGAGGCGCCCGCAAAGAAUGAAACCCAAAGGGAACUGAUUUGGGACGGCUGGCGGAGGCGUGGUCGACCUGAUGCAAAGCGAAGCGAACCUACCAGGGUUUGACAUGCCGUGAAUCCUCCGAGGGGGGCCCCUGGGAACGCGGACAGGUGGUGGUGCCACGCCGCCUGUGCCGUAAGGUGUUGGGUUAAGUCCCGCAACGAGCGCAACCCCGUGUUUAGGCUGCCACCAUUGAGUUUGGAACCUGAACAGACGUCGGUGAUAAGGAGAGGAAGGUGGGGAUGACGCCACAUUCCCCUCAUGCCCCAUGUCCGACACACGUGCUGCAAAUGGCCGGGACAAAGGGUCGCGGAUCCCUAGGAGGAGGAUGAACCCCAAAACCCCGUCCUCAGUUCGGACACAUUGGCAGGGCUGCAACUGCCUGCAUGGAAUGGUGGAACUGCUAGCAAUUGGUCAGCCAUAAUAAGGGCGGUGACCUGUUCCUGGCCUUGGACCCCCGCCUCACAUGGAGCUGGCCAUGCCCGAAGUCGUUACCUCAACCCAAGGAGGGGGGAUGCCGGGGGCUGGGCCAGGACUGGAAGUCGGGAACAAGGUAGCUGCAAAAGUGGUUGAGGCCU